RNAcentral lists this microRNA precursor (185 nucleotides) under Vigna radiata var. radiata (mung bean). RNAcentral describes it as "MIR530 microRNA precursor family". It matches the Rfam family "MIR530 microRNA precursor family". The record is from Rfam by way of RNAcentral. Lineage: Eukaryota; Viridiplantae; Streptophyta; Magnoliopsida; Fabales; Fabaceae.
GCCGAUAUGUUGCCUUUAUCUGCAUUUGCACCUGCACUUUACUUGGUUUCUCUGUAACAUAAAUGAGCACAUGUCAAUUGAGGAGAAAGAGAAAUAUAUUAUAUUAUAUUAUAUAUAUAUAUGUAUAUGAAUGGAGAAACUGAGAAUGAGGUGCAGGUGCAUAUGCAGGUGAAUGUCAUAUCGGA